AGAAACUAUCACAAACAUUUGCUUAUGACAUCACUGGGGAAGUAGGCAGGAAAAUUAGAUUGGAAGGAUGAACAUCUGCAGAAACACAUCUGCCAUCAGUAACCAAAUGACUGGGCUGCCACUUAAGAUACUCCAGCAGCUUAUCCCACUGGGAGGUUUUCAGGGGCAGUAACAUGCACAACCCUGUCAUCUAGGAUAAUGCGUUCUGGAAUAACUCCUGAAGGACCUGCCUGAGGCUCCUGAGGAGGGUGUCAUUCUUCUCAUAACCCAACCACUAGAGGGCUGGGCCAUAAACAGCAGCAGUUAUAAUCUACCGGCGCUGGAGUUGAACCUCGUUUAACCACUAACUGUGUGACCUUGGAUUAUACCAAAGGCGCGCAUUUAAAGAGAACACAACCACUGCUGGUGGAGGAGGGACACGUACUAAAGAAAGUUAAACAUGCCAAGUUCGCAGCUGUUUCUGCUACUGUUUCUUCUCUAUAGUAUGGCCUCUUUCUCCCAAAACUUUUUCAUAAUUAAAGCCAAUU
Chinchilla lanigera (long-tailed chinchilla) is the source of this 527-nucleotide long non-coding RNA. RefSeq lists it as uncharacterized. Lineage: Eukaryota; Metazoa; Chordata; Mammalia; Rodentia; Chinchillidae. The record is from RefSeq and is a predicted model, not a curated record. The transcript is spliced from 4 exons.